GUGGGUUCUCAGGUUAUAUUAAUCCUUCAGUUUCCUUAGAAGGAUGAUCAGGUAUUUUCAGGGAAUUUAGUCUGUUUUGAGGCUGCUGCACACAACUGGUACAUUGAUUUCACAUAAACCAGAUGUCAAAAAUAAUGAAAUUCCUACCACUAGGCUCUCAUUUUACUGGAGACUCGUUUUGGGCCUAGAAAUCAUGAGAAACAUUGCUUUUGUCUUUGAGUGGAGCAAAAAAGGAAACACUCAGCCUUCACAGCUGGAAGAGAAGCAAUGAUCCCAAGAAGAACCCCUUUCUCAGUGCAACACUUGUCCAUUACUUCCUUCUAGCAGUGUGCAGCAGCAGCAGCUCUGCUCCUCCCCUCAGUGACGUGGCUGCUCGCCUUUCCCUGGCCUCUGCUGUGAGAUUGCUGACCCCAAGAACUCACUUGUGUGUCAGCCAGGCAUGA
RNAcentral lists this long non-coding RNA (443 nucleotides) under Coturnix japonica (Japanese quail). RNAcentral's name for it is "lncRNA (ENSCJPG00005018910.1)". The record is from RNAcentral. Lineage: Eukaryota; Metazoa; Chordata; Aves; Galliformes; Phasianidae.